This is a long non-coding RNA of Bubalus bubalis (water buffalo), 1453 nucleotides long. RefSeq lists it as uncharacterized. NCBI's taxonomy places the organism in Eukaryota, Metazoa, Chordata, Mammalia, Artiodactyla, Bovidae. The transcript is spliced from 3 exons. The record is from RefSeq and is a predicted model, not a curated record.
AGCCUUUUAUUCUUUUUCCUAACCUCAGUCCCCACUUUCACAUCCUGUGACCUGCAGAGCUGCAGGGCCCCACCCUGCUGGGCUGGUCCCAGGCCCUGGGAGAGCAAUCAAUGCAGGAAGCCCAAAACCUGGCUGGCCUUCACCAUUUUCAAAUAAGACCGUUUGCUUCUAACCUUGGUUUCCUGAAUCAGCCCUUUGUGAUGGAAACUUUUCACAGUGCGGAAGGCAGACACAGGGGACAAAGUUGGGUUUCUAGCUGAGGCGGGGGUCUUGGCUCAGAAGCAAGGGAAACAGCUGAUACCUCUGAACCACCUCCUCCCUUCCUCCCUGAAGGCCAGACUCCACCUGGGAUGGGGCGAGGGCCUCCACUGCUGCUGCAUAAAUCAGGAGGAACUGGGAGCUGCCUGGGAAACCAGGGCCAGGUUUGGAGCAGAACGUUGUAUGAUGUGGUUCCUAGUUUUUAUUUCCACGAAUGCUAUAAUAUGUUGUCCUACCGAGCUAUUUUUAUUGAAUGAAAAGAUUUUAAAAAAGCAAACCUCUACAAAACCAACAGCCCUCUGUUACAGGGAAGGACAAGGUGAACUUUUCACUUCCUUCCUCACAGCCUAUCAGCUCAUCUGCGGUUUGGUGUCACCCACACUUCCGUGCUAUAUUCAAUCUCAAUUUUUGCCUCCUUGUUUUUGAAACUGCAAGAGCAAGGCUUUUAAACUCAUGUUGCUCCUGCAUGUUGCAUGAGACUUGCUAAAGAGUCUUUUUAGUGAUUUGUCACAGCUGAUUGCAGAGAGGCUAGAUGCCAGCCUGGAGGCAGAGCCUCCAGCAGGAACCAACCACAGUGAACCAGCCAUGGUGGCAUCUUGAUCUUGGGCUUCUGGACUUCAAAACUAUGAGGUCUGAAUCCAAUUAUUCAGCAAAAAGCAGCAUGAGAUCACCUUCCAACAUCUCUCCAGCUCCUUUGGGGUAGGUGAAAAGGGCUUUCCGUGGUGGGGCAAGGUCUGAGACACUGAAACCAGAUCCAGCAACAGAACUUCCACUGACCCCACCAGCUGAGGAGGAGGAUGAAGAGGCAGCCAUUUCCUCUCCAGUAGAAUUCUCACUUCACUACAGAGAAAGAAAAACAGCGAUUGGCAAGUUUAUGGAAGUGAGACUGACAACAUUUCAUUCCAGCUACCGUGAAAGCCAGCAUACAGUUUAGUCAAGAAUUAGUUCCAAAUUUUUCUACCCUCUGUACUCCCACGAUCUUUUAUGGCUCCUUGGGCCAAAACGUCACUCAGGAUUUUAAGUGAAAAUAUGUUUAUUCUUAGUUUUUCUACAUAAAACACUACUUCCUACCAUUAGCAAACUGUUUAUGUCAUUUGGGAUUGACUGUGGGUGAUUUAUGGGUUAUGAAAGGGUGAUAUGGCAGUGCCAAGGUAGCAAUUUGACUGAGGAAAUAAAUUAUAUGAGGAUAAAACAA